This 73-nucleotide transfer RNA is filed under the name Oryzias latipes (Japanese medaka). RNAcentral describes it as "tRNA-Lys (CTT) (tRNA-Lys-CTT-4-1)". It matches the Rfam family "tRNA". From Rfam's summary of the family: Transfer RNA (tRNA) molecules are approximately 80 nucleotides in length. Their secondary structure includes four short double-helical elements and three loops (D, anti-codon, and T loops). Lineage: Eukaryota; Metazoa; Chordata; Actinopteri; Beloniformes; Adrianichthyidae. The record is from Rfam by way of RNAcentral.
ACCUGGCUGGCUCAGUCGGUAUAGCAUGAGACUCUUAAUCUCAGGGUGGUGGGUUUGAGCCCCACGUCGGGCG